This 409-nucleotide ribosomal RNA is filed under the name uncultured organism. RNAcentral describes it as "bacterial SSU rRNA". It matches the Rfam family "Bacterial small subunit ribosomal RNA", at positions 45 to 433 of the family's 1533-position model. The record is from RNAcentral.
UGGAUAAGACAUGCAAGUCGAACGAUCAUUACCCGGUAGCAAUAUUGGGUAGUGGGAGUGGCGCAAGGGUGCGUAACACGUGGGUAAUUUGCCGCGAAGUUGGGGAUAACUCGCUGAAAGGCGAGCUAAUACCGAAUGUGACUGCCGGGGGGCAUCCUCUGGUUUUCAAAGUUGGGGACCGUAAGGCCUGACGCUUCACGAUAAGCCCGCGGCCUAUCAGCUAGUUGGUGAGGUAACGGCUCACCAAGGCUAAGACGGGUAGCUGGUCUGAGAGGACGACCAGCCUCACUGGAACUGAGACACGGUCCAGACACCUACGGGUGGCAGCAGUCGAGAAUUUUUCUCAAUGGGGGAAACCCUGAAGGAGCGACGCCGCGUGGGGGAUGAAUGGCUUCGGCCCGUAAACCCC